Molecule: ribosomal RNA, 1917 nt
Filed under: Flavobacteriales bacterium
Lineage: Bacteria; Pseudomonadati; Bacteroidota; Flavobacteriia; Flavobacteriales
Description: partial 23S ribosomal RNA
Rfam family: Bacterial large subunit ribosomal RNA
Source: RNAcentral
UACUGAUUGGAUGCGGGGCCUUCACCGGCUACCAAUUCCUGACAAACUCCGAAUGCUAUGAAAUGAUGUACAGCAGUGAGGGCAUGGGUGCUAAGGUCCAUGUCCGAGAGGGAAAGAACCCAGACCAUCAGCUAAGGUCCCCAAAUUUACACUAAGUUGACCAAACGUUGUUUGAUUGCAUUGACAGCUAGGAUGUUUGCUUGGAAGCAGCAAUUCAUUUAAAGAGUGCGUAACAGCUCACUAGUCGAGCGAUCGAGCGUGGAUAAUAAUCGGGCAUAAGUAUGACACCGAAACUGUGGAUUCUAUGGUAGGGGAGCAUUCCAGCAGCGCUGAAGGUGUACCGUGAGGUAUGCUGGAGCAUCUGGAAAAGAAAAUGUAGGCAUAAGUAACGAUAAUUAAGGUGAAAAACCUUAACACCGAAAGACUAAGGGUUCCUGAUCAAUGCUAAUCAGAUCAGGGUUAGUCGGGUCCUAAGGCGAACCCAUUGGGGUAGUCGAUGGAUAACAGGUUAAUAUUCCUGUACUUGUAUAUACUGCGAUUUGGGGACGAAUCGACGUACUUGCUACGUGCUGACGGAAAUGCACGUUGAGCCUAGUCUUCGGACGAAGCGAAGUAGGGAAAUUGGUUCCAAGAAAAGCCAAUAAGCUUCAGGUAUAUACAACCCGUACCGUAAACCGACACAGGUAGUCGAGGAGAGAAUCCUAAGGUGCUCGAGUGAUUCAUGGCUAAGGAACUAGGCAAAUUGGCCCUGUAACUUCGGAAGAAAGGGCGCUUCCCCACUUCGGUGGGAAGCCGCAGUGAAUAGAUCCAGGCGACUGUUUAUCAAAAACACAUGGCUUUGCUAAAUCGAAAGAUGAUGUAUAAGGCCUGACACCUGCCCGGUGCUGGAAGGUUAAGAGGUGGGGUUAUCCUUCGGGAGAAGCUCUAAAUUGAAGCCCCAGUAAACGGCGGCCGUAACUAUAACGGUCCUAAGGUAGCGAAAUUCCUUGUCGGGUAAGUUCCGACCUGCACGAAUGGUGUAACGAUCUGGAUACUGUCUCGGCCAUGAGCUCGGUGAAAUUGUAGUAGCGGUGAAGAUGCCGCUUACCUUCAACGGGACGGAAAGACCCCGUGAACCUUCACUACAGCUUUGCAUUGAAUUUGAAUUAUUGAUGUGUAGGAUAGGUGGGAGACUUUGAAGCUGGGACGCUAGUCUUGGUGGAGUCAACCUUGAAAUACCACCCUUUAAUUGUUUGAAUUCUAAUCUCUAACGGGAGACAUUGCAUGGUGGGUAGUUUGACUGGGGUGGUCGCCUCCAAAAAAGUAACGGAGGCUUCUAAAGGUACCCUCAGCACGCUUGGUAACCGUGCGCAGAGUGUAAUGGCACAAGGGUGCUUGACUGUGAGACCGACAAGUCGAACAGGAACGAAAGUUGAGCAUAGUGAUCCGGUGGUUCCUUAUGGAAGGGCCAUCGCUCAAAGGAUAAAAGGUACUCCGGGGAUAACAGGCUGAUCUCCCCCAAGAGCUCACAUCGACGGGGAGGUUUGGCACCUCGAUGUCGGCUCGUCACAUCCUGGGGCUGGAGAAGGUCCCAAGGGUUGGGCUGUUCGCCCAUUAAAGUGGCACGCGAGCUGGGUUCAGAACGUCGCGAGACAGUUCGGUCCCUAUCUGUUGAAGGCGUUAGAAGUUUGAGAGGACCUCCUUUUAGUACGAGAGGACCGAAGGGGACGAACCUCUGGUGUACCUGUUGUGGCGCCAGCUGCAUCGCAGGGUAGCUAUGUUCGGAUGAGAUAAGCGCUGAAAGCAUCUAAGCGCGAAACUCGCCUCAAGAUGAGACUUCUUUUAAGGGUCGUUAAAGAUUAUGACGUUGAUAGGUCGCAAGUGUAAAGGCAGGAAUGUCAAAGCUGAGCGAUACUAAUUACCCGUAGAUUUUUUGCA